This 107-nucleotide small RNA is filed under the name Marmota monax (woodchuck). Lineage: Eukaryota; Metazoa; Chordata; Mammalia; Rodentia; Sciuridae. The record is from RNAcentral.
ACCAGGUGUGGUGACGCACACCUGUAAUCUCAGCUAUUCAGAAGGCAGAGGCAGGAGGCCAGCAAGUUUUAGGCCAGCCUGAACAACUUGGCCAGACUCUGUCUCAA